Molecule: ribosomal RNA, 391 nt
Filed under: Escherichia coli
Lineage: Bacteria; Pseudomonadati; Pseudomonadota; Gammaproteobacteria; Enterobacterales; Enterobacteriaceae
Description: bacterial SSU rRNA
Rfam family: Bacterial small subunit ribosomal RNA
Source: RNAcentral
AAAUUGAAGAGUUUGAUCAUGGCUCAGAUUGAACGCUGGCGGCAGGCCUAACACAUGCAAGUCGAACGGUAACAGGAAACAGCUUGCUGCUUUGCUGACGAGUGGCGGACGGGUGAGUAAUGUCUGGGAAACUGCCUGAUGGAGGGGGAUAACUACUGGAAACGGUAGCUAAUACCGCAUAACGUCGCAAGACCAAAGAGGGGGACCUUAGGGCCUCUUGCCAUCGGAUGUGCCCAGAUGGGAUUAGCUAGUAGGUGGGGUAACGGCUCACCUAGGCGACGAUCCCUAGCUGGUCUGAGAGGAUGACCAGCCACACUGGAACUGAGACACGGUCCAGACUCCUACGGGAGGCAGCAGUGGGGAAUAUUGCACAAUGGGCGCAAGCCUGAUG